RNAcentral lists this unclassified non-coding RNA (235 nucleotides) under Hevea brasiliensis (rubber tree). The record is from RNAcentral. Lineage: Eukaryota; Viridiplantae; Streptophyta; Magnoliopsida; Malpighiales; Euphorbiaceae.
AAUUGUACUUCUCUCAGAAGUUGCAGGCGCUAUUUGCACCAUAGAAUUAAGUGCAUGCAAACUACUGGAAGACUUCCCAAGAGUCAAAGGUUGUUCCACUGUCUUCAUUGCAGCAGCUCUACGAGCAUCAUACGUAUGUAACAUCUGCCCAUUUUUUAAGGUUCUGCACUGAUUUAACCAGGAAGGUUCCAACUGAGAACCAUUUUGUGUUUGUUCAAGCGUAACGGAAUUUGUA